Long non-coding RNA from Etheostoma spectabile (orangethroat darter), 78 nucleotides. RefSeq lists it as uncharacterized. Lineage: Eukaryota; Metazoa; Chordata; Actinopteri; Perciformes; Percidae. The transcript is spliced from 3 exons. The record is from RefSeq and is a predicted model, not a curated record.
AAAGUACAGAGUUAUGUGGAGAAAACAAUAGGCUACAUCAAGUGCAGAUUAAGUAAGCAUUACAAUGCCGUUGCAUAG